This 253-nucleotide ribosomal RNA is filed under the name uncultured bacterium. RNAcentral describes it as "partial 16S ribosomal RNA". It matches the Rfam family "Bacterial small subunit ribosomal RNA", at positions 524 to 776 of the family's 1533-position model. The record is from RNAcentral.
UACGUAGGGUCCGAGCGUUGUCCGGAAUUAUUGGGCGUAAAGGGCUCGUAGGCGGUCUGUUGCGUCGGGAGUGAAAACUUACAGCUUAACUGUGAGCGUGCUUCCGAUACGGGCAGACUUGAGGUAUUCAGGGGAGAACGGAAUUCCUGGUGUAGCGGUGAAAUGCGCAGAUAUCAGGAGGAACACCGGUGGCGAAGGCGGCCUGCUGGGCAGUAGCUGACACUGAGGCGCGACAGCGUGGGGAGCAAACAGG